Molecule: transfer RNA, 84 nt
Filed under: Rickettsiales bacterium
Lineage: Bacteria; Pseudomonadati; Pseudomonadota; Alphaproteobacteria; Rickettsiales
Description: tRNA-Leu
Rfam family: tRNA
About the family: Transfer RNA (tRNA) molecules are approximately 80 nucleotides in length. Their secondary structure includes four short double-helical elements and three loops (D, anti-codon, and T loops).
Source: RNAcentral
GCCUCCUUGGUGGAAUGGUAGACACGAUAGACUCAAAAUCUAUUGCUGCAAGGCAUGCCGGUUCAAGUCCGGCAGGAGGUACCA